GUGCCAGCAGCCGCGGUAAUACGUAGGUGGCAAGCGUUGUCCGGAAUUAUUGGGCGUAAAGCGCGCGCAGGUGGUUCCUUAAGUCUGAUGUGAAAGCCCACGGCUCAACCGUGGAGGGUCAUUGGAAACUGGGGAACUUGAGUGCAGAAGAGGAAAGUGGAAUUCCAAGUGUAGCGGUGAAAUGCGUAGAGAUUUGGAGGAACACCAGUGGCGAAGGCGACUUUCUGGUCUGUAACUGACACUGAGGCGCGAAAGCGUGGGGAGCAAACAGGAUUAGAUACCCUGGUAGUCC
This 292-nucleotide ribosomal RNA is filed under the name uncultured microorganism. RNAcentral describes it as "partial 16S ribosomal RNA". It matches the Rfam family "Bacterial small subunit ribosomal RNA", at positions 505 to 796 of the family's 1533-position model. The record is from RNAcentral.